CCUACGGGAGGCAGCAGUGGGGAAUAUUGGGCAAUGGAGGAAACUCUGACCCAGCGACGCCGCGUGCGGGAUGAAGGCCUUCGGGUUGUAAACCGCUUUCAGUAGGGAAGAAGCGAAAGUGACGGUACCUACAGAAGAAGCACCGGCUAACUAUGUGCCAGCAGCCGCGGUAAUACAUAGGGUGCAAGCGUUGUCCGGAAUUAUUGGGCGUAAAGAGCUCGUAGGUGGUUCGUCACGUCGGAUGUGAAAAUCUGGGGCUCAACCCCAGACCUGCAUUCGAUACGGGCGAUCUAGAGUGUGGUAGGGGAGACUGGAAUUCCUGGUGUAGCGGUGGAAUGCGCAGAUAUCAGGAGGAACACCAAUGGCGAAGGCAGGUCUCUGGGCCAUUACUGACACUGAGGAGCGAAAGCGUGGGGAGCGAACAGGAUUAGAUACCCUGGUAGUCCACGCCGUAAACGGUGGGCACUAGUUGUGGGAACCUUCCACGGUUUCUGCGACGCAGCUAACGCAUUAAGUGCCCCGCCUGGGGAGUACGAUCGCAAGNUUAAAACCUUAAUGAAAUUGACGGCUGAGACGUGCCGACGGACGACGACGAGGGAGGUAGG
This 605-nucleotide ribosomal RNA is filed under the name uncultured bacterium. RNAcentral describes it as "bacterial SSU rRNA". It matches the Rfam family "Bacterial small subunit ribosomal RNA", at positions 338 to 954 of the family's 1533-position model. The record is from RNAcentral.